RNAcentral lists this ribosomal RNA (1042 nucleotides) under Salmonella enterica subsp. enterica serovar Typhimurium. Its description in RNAcentral is "partial 23S ribosomal RNA". It matches the Rfam family "Bacterial large subunit ribosomal RNA", at positions 586 to 1547 of the family's 2925-position model. Lineage: Bacteria; Pseudomonadati; Pseudomonadota; Gammaproteobacteria; Enterobacterales; Enterobacteriaceae. The record is from RNAcentral.
UACCUGUGUGACUGCGUACCUUUUGUAUAAUGGGUCAGCGACUUAUAUUCUGUAGCAAGGUUAACCGUAUAGGGGAGCCGUAGGGAAACCGAGUCUUAACCGGGCGUUAAGUUGCAGGGUAUAGACCCGAAACCCGGUGAUCUAGCCAUGGGCAGGUUGAAGGUUGGGUAACACUAACUGGAGGACCGAACCGACUAAUGUUGAAAAAUUAGCGGAUGACCUGUGGCUGGGGGUGAAAGGCCAAUCAAACCGGGAGAUAGCUGGUUCUCCCCGAAAGCUAUUUAGGUAGCGCCUCGUGAAUUCAUCUCCGGGGGUAGAGCACUGUUUCGGCUAGGGGGCCAUCCCGGCUUACCAACCCGAUGCAAACUGCGAAUACCGGAGAAUGUUAUCACGGGAGACACACGGCGGGUGCUAACGUCCGUCGUGAAGAGGGAAACAACCCAGACCGCCAGCUAAGGUCCCAAAGUCAUGGUUAAGUGGGAAACGAUGUGGGAAGGCCCAGACAGCCAGGAUGUUGGCUUAGAAGCAGCCAUCAUUUAAAGAAAGCGUAAUAGCUCACUGGUCGAGUCGGCCUGCGCGGAAGAUGUAACGGGGCUAAACCAUGCACCGAAGCUGCGGCAGCGAACGUAUCACCCAAGACAACUUUACGGAGUUGACGAUUGACGGAGCGAAGCGACGUCAAAGCGUUCAUUAAAGUCGAGUUGGCUUAGGGAUACGUUCGUUGGGUAGGGGAGCGUUCUGUAAGCCUGUGAAGGUGUGUCGUGAGGCAUGCUGGAGGUAUCAGAAGUGCGAAUGCUGACAUAAGUAACGAUAAAGCGGGUGAAAAGCCCGCUCGCCGGAAGACCAAGGGUUCCUGUCCAACGUUAAUCGGGGCAGGGUGAGUCGACCCCUAAGGCGAGGCCGAAAGGCGUAGUCGAUGGGAAACGGGUUAAUAUUCCCGUACUUGGUGUUACUGCGAAGGGGGGACGGAGAAGGCUAUGUUGGCCGGGCGACGGUUGUCCCGGUUUAAGCGUGUAGGUGUGUGUUCCAGGUAAAUCCGGUU